ACCACCAUUAUUCGUUUUAAGCGAUGGGGGGACGCAGUAGGAUAGGCGAAGCGUGCUGUUGGAGUGCACGUCCAAGCAGUGAGAUUGAGUGUUAGGCAAAUCCGGCACUCUUAAGAUUGAGCUGUGAUGGGGAGAGGAACUUGUUCCUCGAGUCGUUGAUUUCACACUGCCGAGAAAAGCCUCUAGCUAGAAUAACGGUGCCCGUACCGCAAACCGACACAGGUAGUCAAGAUGAGAAUUCUAAGGUGAGCGAGCGAACUCUCGUUAAGGAACUCGGCAAAAUGACCCCGUAACUUCGGGAGAAGGGGUGCUCUUUGAGGUUCACGCUUCGAAGAGCCGCAGUGAAUAGGCCCAAGCGACUGUUUAUCAAAAACACAGGUCUCUGCUAAACCGUAAGGUGACGUAUAGGGGCUGACGCCUGCCCGGUGCUGGAAGGUUAAGAGGAGUGGUUAGCGCAAGCGAAGCUACGAAUCGAAGCCCCAGUAAACGGCGGCCGUAACUAUAACGGUCCUAAGGUAGCGAAAUUCCUUGUCGGGUAAGUUCCGACCCGCACGAAAGGCGUAACGAUUUGGGCACUGUCUCAACGAGAGACUCGGUGAAAUCAUAGUACCGGUGAAGAUGCCGGUUACCCGCGACAGGACGGAAAGACCCCGUGGAGCUUUACUGUAGCCUGAUAUUGAAAUUCGGUACAGUUUGUACAGGAUAGGUAGGAGCCUUAGAAGCGUGAGCGCUAGCUUACGUGGAGGCAUUGGUGGGAUACUACCCUAAUUGUAUUGGAUUUCUAACCCGCAGCACUUAUCGUGCUGGGAGACAGUGUCAGGCGGGCAGUUUGACUGGGGCGGUCGCCUCCUAAAGAGUAACGGAGGCGCUCAAAGGUUCCCUCAGAAUGGUUGGAAAUCAUUCAUAGAGUGUAAAGGCAUAAGGGAGCUUGACUGCGAGACCUAC
RNAcentral lists this ribosomal RNA (945 nucleotides) under Staphylococcus pseudintermedius. RNAcentral describes it as "partial 23S ribosomal RNA". It matches the Rfam family "Bacterial large subunit ribosomal RNA", at positions 1443 to 2385 of the family's 2925-position model. The record is from RNAcentral. Lineage: Bacteria; Bacillati; Bacillota; Bacilli; Caryophanales; Staphylococcaceae.